GAGUUUGAUCGUGGCUCAGGACGAACGCUGGCGGCGUGCUUAACACAUGCAAGUCGAACGAGAAUCUACUGAAAGAGUUUUCGGACAAUGGAAGUAGAGGAAAGUGGCGGACGGGUGAGUAACGCGUGAGGAACCUGCCUUGAAGAGGGGACAACAGGUUGGAAACGACUGCUAAUACCGCAUGAUGCAUAAGGGUCGCAUGAUUCUUAUGCCAAAGAUUUAUCGCUUCAAGAUGGCCUCGCGUCUGAUUAGCUAGUUGGCGGGGUAACGGCCCACCAAGGCGACGAUCAGUAGCCGGACUGAGAGGUUGAACGGCCACAUUGGGACUGAGAUACGGCCCAGACUCCUACGGGAGGCAGCAGUGGGGAAUAUUGGGCAAUGGGCGCAAGCCUGACCCAGCAACGCCGCGUGAAGGAGAAGGCUUUCGGUAUGUAAACUUCUAUCAGCAGGGAAGAAAAUGACGGUACCUGACUAAGAAGCCCGGCCAACUACGUGCCAGCCGCCGCAGU
This 509-nucleotide ribosomal RNA is filed under the name uncultured microorganism. Its description in RNAcentral is "bacterial SSU rRNA". It matches the Rfam family "Bacterial small subunit ribosomal RNA", at positions 9 to 521 of the family's 1533-position model. The record is from RNAcentral.